RNAcentral lists this ribosomal RNA (481 nucleotides) under uncultured bacterium. Its description in RNAcentral is "partial 16S ribosomal RNA". It matches the Rfam family "Bacterial small subunit ribosomal RNA", at positions 28 to 507 of the family's 1533-position model. The record is from RNAcentral.
GAUGAACGCUGGCGGCGUGCUUAACACAUGCAAGUCGAACGAAGCAUUUAGGACAGAUUACUUCGGUUUGAAGUUCUUUAUGACUGAGUGGCGGACGGGUGAGUAACGCGUGGGUAACCUGCCUUGUACUGGGGGAUAGCAGCUGGAAACGGCUGGUAAUACCGCAUAAGCGCACAAUGUUGCAUGACAUGGUGUGAAAAACUCCGGUGGGAUAAGAUGGACCCGCGUCUGAUUAGCUAGUUGGUGAGAUAACAGCCCACCAAGGCGACGAUCAGUAGCCGAGAUGAGAGGGGGACCGGCCACAUUGGGACUGAGACACGGCCCAGACUCCUACGGGAGUCAGCAGUGGGGAAUAUUGCACAAUGGAGGAAACUCUGAUGCAGCGACGCCGCGUGAGUGAAGAAGUAAUUCGUUAUGUAAAGCUCUAUCAGCAGGGAAGAUAGUGACGGUACCUGACUAAGAAGCUCCGGCUAAAUACGUG